UACGUAGGGGGCGAGCGUUGUCCGGAUUUAUUGGGCGUAAAAGGCUUGUAGGUGGCCACGUCAAGUCGGAUGUGAAAUCUCCCGGCUCAACUGGGAGGGGUCAUUCGAUACUGGCGGGCUCGAGGCCGGUAGGGGGAAGCGGAAUUCCCGGUGUAGUGGUGGAAUGCGUACAUAUCGGGAGGAACACCAGUGGCGAAGGCGGCUUCCUGGACCGGUUCUGACACUGAGGAGCGAAAGCGUGGGGAGCGAUCCGG
This 254-nucleotide ribosomal RNA is filed under the name uncultured bacterium. RNAcentral's name for it is "partial 16S ribosomal RNA". It matches the Rfam family "Bacterial small subunit ribosomal RNA", at positions 524 to 776 of the family's 1533-position model. The record is from RNAcentral.